RNAcentral lists this ribosomal RNA (535 nucleotides) under uncultured bacterium. RNAcentral's name for it is "bacterial SSU rRNA". It matches the Rfam family "Bacterial small subunit ribosomal RNA", at positions 355 to 902 of the family's 1533-position model. The record is from RNAcentral.
UGGGGAAUCUUGCACAAUGGGCGAAAGCCUGAUGCAGCAACGCCGCGUGCGGGAAGACAGCCCUAGGGUUGUAAACCGCUUUCAGCAGGGAAGAAACUGACGGUACCUGCAGAAGAAGAUGCGGCCAACUACGUGCCAGCAGCCGCGGUGACACGUAGGCAUCAAGCGUUAUCCGGAUUUAUUGGGCGUAAAGAGCUCGUAGGCGGUCCGUUGCGUCUGCCGUGAAAACCCGGAGCUCAACUCCGGGCCUGCGGUGGAUACGGGCGGACUAGAGUCCGGUAGGGGAGACUGGAAUUCCUGGUGUAGCGGUGGAAUGCGCAGAUAUCAGGAGGAACACCGGUGGCGAAGGCGGGUCUCUGGGCCGGAACUGACGCUGAGGAGCGAAAAGCGUGGGGAGCGAACAGGAUUAGAUACCCUGGUAGUCCACGCCGUAAAACGGUGGGCGCUAGGUGUGGGGGAUCGUUUCCACGAUCUCCGUGCCGUAGCUAACGCAUUAAGCGCCCCGCCUGGGAGUACGGCCGCAAGGCUAAAACUC